UUGAUCUGUUGAAGAUGUCGCUCCAGGCUCCUUUGGGGGGCUCCUCCUCCGAGUGCCGCAGGUCUGCGGUAUGGCGAAUCCAGUGGGCUGCUGUGCGGCUCGCCGCUGAGGUUUGCCGGGCAAAGUAUUUGCUUGACGUGAUUCGCCGCGACCUUCUGCACUGGAUCUUCUUGCCAGGGUAUUGGCUUCUUCUACCUGAAACUUUUCUAUGCCUUUGCUAUUCUAUAAGUUGAAGAACAUUCUAGCGUUCUAUAGAUUGUUCAUUUUAGUUCUAUAGCUUGUGUUCUAUAGAUUCUGCAAAGUUUAAGAACAUUGCCUCAAAAACAUUCUAUUCUGCUGGGCAGAAUUCAGACCCAGCAUUCCAAUGUAUCUUGCUCUAGCAAAAUUACUACUAUAUCUAACCAAUUUCUGAUGUGUAAACAUGUCCAGAACUACCUUUUUUCGAUGCUAGAUAUGGUUAGGUUCCACGAUUGUAUGGUCCUCGUUGGUUUAUGUUUCUGCUUCUAUGCAAUGUUUGGUGCCAAUUACUAACCAGCUGGGAUUCGAUUUUCGCCUUUAGGGUGAGGAACAGACAGUUGAGAUCCCAUGGUCAGUGAUACUUGAGAAGGUUAUGAAGGCCCUGCCAGCAAAAAAAGUUCCAGAUUAUCAUUGGGUUGUGUCUGGGCCUUCCACUUUCCAUGUCUGUGUUGAAAUAGACAUCACAGGCACAACGGUAGCAGUUGAGUUAGUAGUAAAUGUGCCGUGAGUUCUUGGCGAUGUUUGUAGCUCACUGCAUGAAGCUCACCUGUAUGCUAUGACAAAAAACUUCAGGUACCCAGAGAAGAAAUAUUCAUCCGUAUCACAAACUACAGCAGCAAAUAAGCUUCAGACUAUGAAGAUAGAGCUGUUUUUGGCCAUGUGAAUGACUGUUCUUAUACAGUUGAAAAGGUUCUUUGCGAGUGGGGCGUAGUGCUGGAUGCCAUUAGCAAAUUCCAUUCUGAGCUGGCCAGUUUGGGAAUGUCCAAGACUGUGGACGGGGUCAUUUAUGCAGCUGGAGGGGUGUAUUCUGAAACUAGAAAAUUCGUUGGGUCAGUAAUCACUACGCACAUGGACAAACACCUUGUGCAACUUACCUUGAGAUGAGGGAAUAUGAGACCCAGUGCACGUGUUCCAGCUCUAUGCAAAUGCUUAUGAAUAUGAGACCCAGUGCCGUGUACAAAGACUCUUCCAAAAAGACAAAUGCUUAUAUUCUGAAGACGUACAAGCAGAAAGUGCAUUUCUCAGCCAAGGAUGUUCUCGAUUAUGUGGUGAAGUACUUUGGGCUCAAGUCUGUGGACUUGGAGGAAAAGGAUGCUUCUUUUUUACUGGCUUGAGAAUGGAGUUGAGAUAUGGGGUGAUCUCACAAGGUUUGGGUGCAUUAUGAAUACCUCAGCACCAGUCUCGCUACUGGGGUACAACAUAUAGAUGCAGCUAUCACAAAAGGGUGAAUUCACAUCAACCCUGGUCGAUGCUAUCACGAGAACAAGCAUUCAGGCCGAUGAUCUGGCUCACGAGGGCAAGCCGAGAAGAAAACAAAUUGAAAAAAGAACGUAUAAAAUUUGGGAAAAAAACACUGAGGUUUUGUAGGAGUUGGUGCUGAACCGCAAAAAGUACCUGCAGUCUGAUGAGAUGUUUCGCUACAUGUUUAUUUGGGACACAUUGACAAGAACAUAAUCCACACUUUUUUACCCCUGAUCAGCUCACUAGUCCUGUGUUGUAGUACCAUGGCAAGGGGUCCUGCUAUUUCUGGGAUUUCCAAAAGAAGUUGGUUAUUGUCCUUGAUCCUUUGAGGAUGGGGACGAGGUCAGAACAGGUUGAGAUGCACCAUGAGCAUUUGUUCCAUUACUUGACACAUCAUGGUAUUUCAGGGUUGCUGACGCCUUGUGUCUGGGUCUUGAUUUCAGUUAUGAUUCCGGGUUGUACUCGGUUUUGUAUUCGUGUUAAUUUGAUGGGGAAAUGAUGGUCUGUGACCCUAGACAGGGGGUACUGCCCGAGCCAAGGACAGCAAUCUUCUACCAUCUCCUGCGCAUGAAAGGCAAUAGCGGUGACAUACCUAUUCAGAUCAAAGACAUAGUUACAAAGAUCUGCUGAUCAGGAACCCAUAAAGGGCCAUUUUGAUGGAUGGUUCCGCUGUGAUGGCGGAACGUUCUUCCUUAAUUUGAAAUGUUGUUCAGGCUGGAGUUAGUCGAGUUUUGCUGCAGUAGUCUCAUUUUGCUUUCGAACUGCAGUUUGACUAGGUGCCUGAAAGCACUCUCUUUGGCCAGCGUGUGAACUGUGCUUGGAAAAAACUGUACAUGGCUCCUUGCGUGCAGAUGCAAAAAUGGCGGGCAUGGUGAUUUUGCUCCAUUAGUUUCGUUUCUCUUUUGAACUGCACAUUGAUUAUGCAUAUCAGAACAUUGACUAGGUGCCUAAAAAGUAUUGGGAUA
Long non-coding RNA from Panicum virgatum (switchgrass), 2444 nucleotides. RefSeq lists it as uncharacterized. The transcript is spliced from 5 exons. NCBI's taxonomy places the organism in Eukaryota, Viridiplantae, Streptophyta, Magnoliopsida, Poales, Poaceae. The record is from RefSeq and is a predicted model, not a curated record.